RNAcentral lists this non-coding RNA (28 nucleotides) under Bombyx mori (domestic silkworm). The record is from RNAcentral. Lineage: Eukaryota; Metazoa; Arthropoda; Insecta; Lepidoptera; Bombycidae.
UCUCUAUAGAGGAAUCUCAGGCUGUCGC